Molecule: long non-coding RNA, 297 nt
Filed under: Mytilus galloprovincialis (Mediterranean mussel)
Lineage: Eukaryota; Metazoa; Mollusca; Bivalvia; Mytilida; Mytilidae
Source: RNAcentral
GUGGGUUUAAAUUUUUCUCAUUUCAGAUUUCAUAAAUAAAAAGAAAAUUUCUUCAAACAUUUUUUGAGAGGAUUAAUAUUCAACAGCAUAGUGAAUUGCUCAAAGGCAAAAAAAAUAUUUUAAGUUCAUUAGAGUAAGACCACAUUCAUUCUGUGUCCGAAACCUAUGCUGUGUCAACUAUUUAAUCACAAUCCAAAUUUAGAGCUGAAUCCAGCUUGAAUGUUGUGUCCAUCCUUGCCCCAACCGUUCAGGGUUCAACCUCUGCGGUCGUAUAAAGCUGUGCCCUGCAGAGCAUCU